RNAcentral lists this long non-coding RNA (351 nucleotides) under Musa acuminata (dwarf banana). Its description in RNAcentral is "long non-coding RNA (MACU_LNC002311)". The record is from RNAcentral. Lineage: Eukaryota; Viridiplantae; Streptophyta; Magnoliopsida; Zingiberales; Musaceae.
ACCAAAUCAUCUUCGACCCUCGAACUCGGAGACACAGUGGGGCUGGGUGGGAACAGUGGCCUCACAUGGAGACAUGUGCAGCUGACUCCUUCCUUUACAGGCAGAUGCAAUUGAUCCCCGGAGUUGGAGCACAUGCUGUCAGAUUCAUCUUUGCCGGAGUAACAAGUUUGGAAUCAUCAUGCUUGGAUUUGACUCCAAGCUAUCUCCGGCCGGCUAACCUGCCGAUGCUUAGUCCACUCGAUCCACUCUGUUUCUUCUGCUCGCCGCUUGUCAUCAAGUGGGUUUCCUUGGGAAUGCAACACCAGUUUGUUCUCGGGUUUAUGACUACAUUUACUUAAAGCUUUAUCUGAA